This is a non-coding RNA of Acanthosepion pharaonis, 114 nucleotides long. NCBI's taxonomy places the organism in Eukaryota, Metazoa, Mollusca, Cephalopoda, Sepiida, Sepiidae. The record is from the annotation of a GenBank genome assembly.
UUAUGACCAUAUCGCGCAGAAACACCGGUUCUCGUUCGAUCACCGAAGUUAAGCAACGUUAUGCUUGGUCACUACCUAGAUGAAUCACCGCUUGGGAAUAUCAGGUACUGUAAG